AGUGAACGCUGGCGGUAGGCCUAACACAUGCCAGUCGAACGGCAGCACAGUAAGAGCUUGCUCUUACGGGUGGCGAGUGGCGGACGGGUGAGGAAUACAUCGGAAUCUACUUUUUCGUGGGGGAUAACGUAGGGAAACUUACGCUAAUACCGCAUACGACCUACGGGUGAAAGCAGGGGAUCUUCUGACCUUGCGCGAUUGAAUGAGCCGAUGUCGGAUUAGCUAGUUGGCGGGGUAAAGGCCCACCAAGGCGACGAUCCGUAGCUGGUCUGAGAGGAUGAUCAGCCACACUGGAACUGAGAAACGGUCCCGACUCCUACGGGAGGAAGCAGUGGGGACUAUUGGACAAUGGGCGCAAGCCUGAUCCAGCCAUACCGCGUGGGUGAAGAAGGCCUUCGGGUUGUAAAGCCAUUUUGUUGGGAAAGAAAAGCAGCAGGUUAAUACCCCGCUGUUCUGACGGUACCCAAAGAAUAAGCACCGGCUAACUUCGUG
Molecule: ribosomal RNA, 492 nt
Filed under: uncultured bacterium
Lineage: Bacteria
Description: partial 16S ribosomal RNA
Rfam family: Bacterial small subunit ribosomal RNA
Source: RNAcentral